GUCCUUUUGAUAAUAAUAUAAGGUCUAACCUGCCCACUGAAAUUUUAAAGGGCCGCAGUAUUUUAACUGUGCAAAGGUAGCAUAAUAAUUAGUUUCUUAAUUAGAAGCUGGUAUGAAUGGUUGAACGAGAAAUUUACUGUCUCAAUUUAUAUAUUAAAAUUUUAUUUUUAAGUUAAAAAGCUUAAAUUUAUUUAAAAGACGAGAAGACCCUAUAGAGUUUUAUAAAUUUAAUUAUAUUAUUUUUAGAAUUUUUUUUUAUUUAAAUUUAUUUUAUUGGGGUGAUAUAUAAAUUUAAUAAACUUUAUAUUUUUAAUAACAUUAAUUAAUGUUUAAUUGAUCCAUAUAAAUGAUUAAAAGAAAAAAUUACCUUAGGGAUAACAGCGUAAUUUUUUUUUAGAGUUCUAAUCGAAAAAAAAGAUUGCGACCUCGAUGUUGGAUUAAAAUUAAUUUUUGGUGUAGAAGCUAAAAUAUUAGGUCUGUUCGACCUUUAAAAUUUUACAUGAUCUGAGUUUAAACCGGUGUAAGCCAGGUUGGUUUCUAUCUUUAAAAAAAAUGAAUAUUUUAGUACGAAAGGACCAAGUAUUUUUAAAAUUUAAUGUUUUUUGAAUA
This 609-nucleotide ribosomal RNA is filed under the name Hydraena subirregularis. RNAcentral describes it as "partial 16S ribosomal RNA". It matches the Rfam family "Bacterial large subunit ribosomal RNA", at positions 1819 to 2725 of the family's 2925-position model. The record is from RNAcentral. Lineage: Eukaryota; Metazoa; Arthropoda; Insecta; Coleoptera; Hydraenidae.